RNAcentral lists this ribosomal RNA (430 nucleotides) under Plesiobracon sp. RNAcentral describes it as "partial 16S ribosomal RNA". Lineage: Eukaryota; Metazoa; Arthropoda; Insecta; Hymenoptera; Braconidae. The record is from RNAcentral.
GUCUUAAUGAAUUUUAUAUUAAGUCAAAUCUGCCCAAUGAAUAAUUUUAAUGGCUGCAGUAUUUUAACUGUACAAAGGUAGCAUAAUAAUUUGUUUUUUAAUUAAAAACUAGAAUGAAAGAUUUAAUGAAAUAAAAACUGUUUCAAUAUAAUAUAUAUUAAAUUUAUUAUUUAAGUUAAAAUACUUAAAUAUCUUAUUAAGACGAUAAGACCCUAUAGAAUUUAAUUUAUUAAUAUUUAUAUUUUUUCUUUAUAUAUUUAUAUAUUAAUAAAUUUGAUUGGGGUAAUUAAAAAAUUUAAUUAAUUUUUUUUUUAUAAAAUCAUUGAUUUAUGCUAAUUUUAUUAUCUUAAUUUUUAAAUUAAAAAAAUUAAUUACCUUAGGGAUAACAGCAUAAUUUUUUUUGUAAGAUCAUAUUUAUAAAAAAGAUUAU